GUAACGCGUGGGAAUCUACCCAUCUCUACUGAACAACUCCGGGAAACUGGAGCUGAUAUAGUAUACGUCCUUCUGGAGAAAGAUUUAUCUUAGAUGGAUGAGCCCGCGUUGGAUUAUCUAGUUGGUGGGGUAAUGGCCUACCAAGGCGACAAUCCAUAUCUGGUCUGAGAGGAUGAUCAGCCACACUGGGACUGAGACACGGCCCACACUCCUACGGGAGGCAGCAGUGGGGAAUAUUGGACAAUGGGCGCAAGCCUGAUCCAGCCAUGCCGCGUGAGUGAUGAAAGCCCUAUGGUUGUAAAGCUCUUUCUACGGUGAAGAUAAUGACAGUAACCGUAGAAGAAGCCCCGGCUAACUUCGUGCCAGCAGCCGCGGUAAUACGAAGGGGGCUAGCGUUGUUCUGAAUUACU
This 410-nucleotide ribosomal RNA is filed under the name Mesorhizobium sp. RFLP-26. RNAcentral's name for it is "bacterial SSU rRNA". It matches the Rfam family "Bacterial small subunit ribosomal RNA", at positions 110 to 555 of the family's 1533-position model. Lineage: Bacteria; Pseudomonadati; Pseudomonadota; Alphaproteobacteria; Hyphomicrobiales; Phyllobacteriaceae. The record is from RNAcentral.